GUUCCCAUAGUUCAACUGGAUAGAACAAGUUCCUCCUAAGAAUUAGAUGCAGGUUCAAGUCCUGCUGGGAACGCCA
This 76-nucleotide transfer RNA is filed under the name Rickettsiales bacterium. RNAcentral's name for it is "tRNA-Arg". It matches the Rfam family "tRNA". Rfam says of the family: Transfer RNA (tRNA) molecules are approximately 80 nucleotides in length. Their secondary structure includes four short double-helical elements and three loops (D, anti-codon, and T loops). Further hydrogen bonds mediate the characteristic L-shaped molecular structure. tRNAs have two regions of fundamental functional importance: the anti-codon, which is responsible for specific mRNA codon recognition, and the 3' end, to which the tRNAs corresponding amino acid is attached (by aminoacyl-tRNA synthetases). tRNAs cope with the degeneracy of the genetic code in two manners: having more than one tRNA (with a specific anti-codon) for a particular amino acid; and 'wobble' base-pairing, i.e. permitting non-standard base-pairing at the 3rd anti-codon position. The record is from RNAcentral. Lineage: Bacteria; Pseudomonadati; Pseudomonadota; Alphaproteobacteria; Rickettsiales.